This 468-nucleotide ribosomal RNA is filed under the name uncultured bacterium. RNAcentral's name for it is "partial 16S ribosomal RNA". It matches the Rfam family "Bacterial small subunit ribosomal RNA", at positions 28 to 507 of the family's 1533-position model. The record is from RNAcentral.
GACGAACGCUGGCGGCGUGCUUAACACAUGCAAGUCGAACGGAAAGGCCCUGCUUUUGUGGGGUGCUCGAGUGGCGAACGGGUGAGUAACACGUGAGUAACCUGCCCUUGACUUUGGGAUAACUUCAGGAAACUGGGGCUAAUACCGGAUAGGAGCUCCUGCUGCAUGGUGGGGGUUGGAAAGUUUCGGCGGUUGGGGCUGGACUCGCGGCUUAUCAGCUUGUUGGUGGGGUAGUGGCUUACCAAGGCUUUGACGGGUAGCCGGCCUGAGAGGGUGACCGGCCACAUUGGGACUGAGAUACGGCCCAGACGCCUACGGGAGGCAGCAGUCGGGAAUAUUGCGCAAUGGGCGGGAGCCUGAUGCAGCAACGCCGCGUGCGGGAUGACGGCCUUCGGGGUGUAAACCGCUUUCGCCUGUGACGAAGCGUGAGUGACGGUAAUGAGUAAAGAAGCAACGGCUAACUACGUG